Long non-coding RNA from Cucurbita moschata (crookneck pumpkin), 2133 nucleotides. RefSeq lists it as uncharacterized. The transcript is spliced from 3 exons. Lineage: Eukaryota; Viridiplantae; Streptophyta; Magnoliopsida; Cucurbitales; Cucurbitaceae. The record is from RefSeq and is a predicted model, not a curated record.
ACCGUUUCACAUCCGUGGAUUCUGGUUCAAACCCUCCUGACUGCUCGAUCGCCGUGGCACCACUCUAAUCCGAUCGUUACUGGUAGAGCUUGUUGACAAAGAAUUCCAGUCUAAAUCUUCUUUACCGCUCAUCUUUAUCUUCUAUAGAUCUUAAUCCUACGGAAGAACUUCCUCGAUAUUUCGGCUAAGCUGGUUGCUCUUGUCGAGGUUCGAUUUGGAUCUAGCGUGGAAGAGAUAAAGUAGGCCUGUUUAAAAGGUUGAGACUUUUAGUAUAGCUAUCAGCUUUGUGUUGAGUUGUAGAAGUUUGAUCUACUGGGAGAAGCUGAAAUUGGAACUUAAAUUUGGAUACAUACUUUGAGUUGGAAAUUUUAUUUUGGUAUGGAAGCAGUGGUCGUUGUUGAGCAGCAGCAUAGGAACCAAUAUUAUGGUGCUCCAUUUGGGUCAUUCCCGUCCCGAGACUUCAGAGGGGUGAACUGUAGGAGUUUCCAAUCUGGAGCUGGUAUACUCCCAACUCCCUCCAAGGCUUCUACCUCUGAAACUAAACACUUCUACCCUUCUUCUCCAAAAACACCACUAACUUGUUUAAGUUCCAACUCCGGAAAUGCUAAAUCUGGAGCUACUGUGCCAACUGCUCCAAUUCCUAUCAAACCCAAAUUUUUAAACAACAACAUUGUUCUCCAUGAAGAAUUCUAUGAUCCAAGUUUCUCGUUCUCUGAGCUUUGGGCUGGACCCACUUAUUCAAAUUCUCCGCCUCCAAGUUCGUUAUCCAUUCCCAAAUUUUCAGUUGCUAAGAGAACCACGUCUCAGGAGAUCCCUCGUUCUGCCCCUGAAUUUGAUUUGCAUCACCCAUCUGCCAAGUCUGCACCACCAUCCCCAACUCGAGACCAAAACUUUUCCCCCAGAUUUUUCUUUCAUAAUGAUGACUCUGCGACUAAGACUCUACGUCGCAUUCUUCAUCUUGAUGUUGACAAUGAAUGAACUUCAGGGAGCAUCAAGCUUCUGUAAAUAGGCUUACUUUUGAGCUGGUUGGUGUUAUGUAUAUAGAACGACUAAGUUGGUUAGUGGUGACAGUCAUGAGUAUCCUCAGUUUUCCGUGCUGUUGGACAUACUUCGAUCGCAGGAACAACCAAUAGUUAGAUGCUGCACCUUAAUCCGUGCUUAGAUGCUGAACUGGAUUUGGUUUGGCAGACAGAGACAAGAUAGGGCGCGAUAGCAACACAGAUUAAAUCAAGAUAUUCAGAAGGCAGAAGUAGGGUGUUGGUGAACUUUUUAAUCUCUGUUCUGGCCAUCAUCUCCCAACCACAUUCCAGUCUCUAUUCCAUUCUGUAAUUUGUAUCAUACUGUAGGAUCCCAAACUAAUGCUUCAUUGAAGUUCUGUAGGCUUCUAUUUCAUUCUUUUUAUCCAUUCCUUCCUUACAUCCUCGGCUUCUAUUUCAUUCUUUUCAUCCAUUCCUUCCUUACAUCCUCGGUUCUUGUUGGUUAGGUUCUUUGGCCUCAUGGGUUGGUUUUUCGACACUUCAGUCUCUCCUUUUCUUUUACUCAUACCUCCUCUAAUCAUCUUAUAGCUUUUCACUCCUUUGCCUGCGGACUGUGAGGGAGAUAUUCCUUCUUUACUGCCUUUUCAGUUUUUUUGUAAGACAAGGCGGGGUUCGGAUACUAGUUUGCUUCUUCGCAAUUACUCCAUGUAGCACUUUUCUGUUUCAGUACCUCUUGGAUUUGUCAUCUGUGUUCCUGUCUAGUAUGGAACUUUCUUAUUGGUUUUUGCAAGGUUCGUCUUCCUUCUUGAAUAUCAUUGACCACAUGGAGCGGCAUAUGAGACAAGCCAAGGAUGAACAGUUCAGGUGAUGAUUUUCAGUAGUAGUAUGGUUGGUUUCCCGUGGACGUAGUUCAUCACCAGAGAGAGGCUUCUCAGAAGCGAGUCCAGUUUAUGUUUGUGAUCCUUGUCUUGAAAUCUGUGAUCACUUAAAGUCGUACUGUUGGUGUUGGAGUUUGCUUGUUUUUUCAUAUCAGUUUGAAUGGUAAUUGCCCUCGCUUUGUGUGUUUGAAGGGCAAUGUUUAUAUUGUAAUGUUGAUGUUAUGUAAUGUUUAUGUGUGAUCUAUAAAAUACCGUACAAGCUUUCAGUUUGUUAACUA